AAUCAACGCUGGCGGCGUGCCUAACACAUGCAAGUCGAACGAGAAAGUGGAGCAAUCCAUGAGUAAAGUGGCGCACGGGUGAGUAACACGUGACUAACCUACCCUUGAGUGGGGGAUAACCUAGGGAAACCUGGGCUAAUACCGCAUAAUACCUACGGGUCAAAGGAGCAAUUCGCUUUAGGAGGGGGUCGCGGCAGAUUAGUUAGUUGGCGGGGUAAUGGCCCACCAAGACGAUGAUCNGUACUCCGGCCUGAGAGGCGCACGGACACACUGGAACUGAAACACGGUCCAGACUCCUACGGGAGGCAGCAGGU
Molecule: ribosomal RNA, 314 nt
Filed under: uncultured bacterium
Lineage: Bacteria
Description: bacterial SSU rRNA
Rfam family: Bacterial small subunit ribosomal RNA
Source: RNAcentral